AUUGAACGCUGGCGGCAUGCUUUACACAUGCAAGUCGAACGGCAGCGCGGGCUUCGGCCUGGCGGCGAGUGGCGAACGGGUGAGUAAUUCAUCGGAACGUGCCCAGUAUUUGGGGAUAGCCCGGCGAAAGCCGGAUUAAUACCGCAUACGACCUGAUGGUGAAAGCGGGGGACCGAAAGGCCUCGCGCUAUUUGAUCUGCCGAUGUCGGAUUAGCUAGUUGGUGGGGUAAAGGCUUACCAAGGCGACGAUCCGUAGCUGGUCUGAGAGGACGACCAGCCACACUGGGACUGAGACACGGCCCAGACUCCUACGGGAGGCAGCAGUGGGGAAUUUUGGACAAUGGGGGCAACCCUGAUCCAGCCAUGCCGCGUGCGGGAAGAAGGCCUUCGGGUUGUAAACCGCUUUUGUUCGGGAAGAAAUCCUGUGGGCUAAUACCCCGGGGGGAUGACGGUACCGGAAGAAUAAGCAACGGCUAACUACGUG
RNAcentral lists this ribosomal RNA (484 nucleotides) under uncultured bacterium. RNAcentral describes it as "partial 16S ribosomal RNA". It matches the Rfam family "Bacterial small subunit ribosomal RNA", at positions 30 to 507 of the family's 1533-position model. The record is from RNAcentral.